Long non-coding RNA from Ipomoea triloba (trilobed morning glory), 2391 nucleotides. RefSeq lists it as uncharacterized. The record is from RefSeq and is a predicted model, not a curated record. Lineage: Eukaryota; Viridiplantae; Streptophyta; Magnoliopsida; Solanales; Convolvulaceae. The transcript is spliced from 2 exons.
UUGUUGGUUUCGACACCCAUCAGGUGUCACUAAGUGUAACUCAAGUAGUCAACCUACAGCUGAAGUUAUUUGAAAACCAGUUGACAUAAAGUGAAAUCAAUUGAGAAGGAAAUUUAAUAGUUUCUUACAAGUCCAAAAGUCAGAAUGGGAAUAAAGCUCUGAUGAUGUAGCGCAAUCUGAUUAUACUCUUGACUUUUAAAAUCCAAUUUAAUCUAGAAAAGUUAGAAGUUUUGAAAGUUUAUUCACCCCCCACUCCCCCUAGGCUUUCACCUCUUUCGGGGCCAACAAACGCAUCCAUGAAACUCAUAUGCUUGCAGCCUGCUGUUUCAUCCACCACCUGGUCAAUGUUUGGUAAUGGAAAUUGGUUGAUGGGGCAGGCUCCGUUGAGGUACGUCUAGUCAACACACAUCCUCUAAGAGUCCAAGUAGAACCUUUAGGAGCCAAGACCACGUUUCUUAGCCACUCUGGGUAAUAUAUUUCAUUAAUGUGUCCUACAUGCAACAAUGCAACUACUUCCUUCUUCAUAAAGUCCCUCCGUUCUGCUGAGAGAUAUCUCUUCCUUUAGUGUAUCGGCCUCCUGUUGGGAUCUAUAACCAAUUUGUGGGUUAUGAUAUUUUUGUUUAUGCCUGGCGUGUCCUAAGGUUCCUAUGCAAACACCAUGUUGAAGCGGAGGAUCAUGUCUACUAACUGGUCUUUCAGUAUAAGGGCUAAGCCGGUACCGAUCUUUACCACUCGAUCUGUCCGAGCGGAGUCUAGUAUUUUGUCCUAUGUCUCCUCCAUGGGCUUGACUAUAAUACCCCGCAUUCUCCUAAUAUUAUUUUAAAUAUAAUAUUUAAAUAAGGGCUUAGUUCUUGAUCAUUAAUUAUUUUAGUAAAAUAAUUAUAAAGCUAAUUAUUUCAUAAUGGGCUAUAGAUGAGCUAUGUUUAUAAAUUACUAUUUGAGCACUCAAAUAUUCUUUCUAAGCCCAUAAUCUAUAUGAUUUUUCUUAUAGGGCUAUGGACCCAAUAAAUUACCCUUAAGCUCAAUCCUUAUUUCCUAGAAUUCUUCUAAGCCCAAAUGAAAAUAUGUACAUAUAUGUAUAUGUAUUUUAGCCUUGAACCCAAGUUGACCCAACUUCCAUAACUGACAUAGCCCAAAAUGGAAACUUAACCUAGCUAUAAAUAGUAGCUUCUAAAUAUGGUAACCUAUGUGAUCAGCAGCCAAAUCCGCCCCCCCCCCCCACCCCUUCACACCCUCUGUUUCUCAUCUCUCCCUCUCGACUAAACGGCCAUCAAGCUCCAAGCAACAACAAUGAAGGAUUACGGCGGCGGCGACGAGCUUUCAUCUCUUCCCUCUCUCAUUUCUCUUGGACGAAGACAUUGGUAGCCUCCCGCUCGACGACGGCCAGGUAAGAGCAGCCGUCUGAACAACGCCGGCCACCUCCAUGAGCGACGAGCUCUGCUUCCGGCGGCAGCAAGACGGACGGCGACCCAGCAACUCCUUCUUCCUUCGUUCUCUCACCCUUUCCUCCUCGUACCGGUUUCCGAAUAGUGGCGAGUGCGGCAGCAGUAGAGGGAAGCAGCAACAGUGACGGUGGUCGACGGUAAUGACUGCAUUCCGGCGCCACAGCUCCCCUGUUCCGACAGCGACAUACGGUCCUCCUCACCCUCUUCGGCGAUGCGGUACGACGGCUGUAGCGGAGCUCGACAUUGGCGAUCUCCCUUCCCAGCAAUGGCGGCUAAGCUUUGGAGUAAUAGUGAUCGGCGUACAGCCUUCCUCAACGUAGACGGCAGCGGUGAAGCUCCUUUGGCGACGCAUUGAGCAUAGCGGUCUGAUCCUGUUUUGGGCAGAUUCAAGAAUGAUUAGCAUCAAGGUUCAUUAUUAUGGACUUGCUUUUGAGCCAAGCUUAGGAGUGGUGCUUGCUAUUGGAUUAAUGAGCUUCAAGAGGUAAUCAUCCGUGUAUGUAUGUAUAUUACUUGGUGUUUUGAAUCCUGUGAAUUUCUUGGGGUUAUAACUUUGUUUUUAUGACUUGUGAACCUAUAUUGUGGAUUAUUGGACUUGUGUUCAUUAUCCUUUGUAUCUAGAUGAGUAUGAAUAAUUCUUGUUAUGGAUUCCAUGCUUUAUUUGGCUGCUGAGAUGUGUAAUAUGUGUAUUCUGAGCAUAUUUCAUAUUCUGGAUUGGUUCAUCGUGUAUUUUAUUCUGUCUGGGAUUUUGGUGCGUUGAGAGUGCACUUGCGGUGCACGCCGGCGGUAUAAUGUGUCCCGCCAGUUUGUUUCGUAUGUGUAACGGCGGUAUGGUGCGACGGAGUGUGGCGAUCCGUUGGGGGGAUUCGCCCCUUCGUGCGGUGGAGUGUGGCAGUACAGGGUAUUCCGCCAGGCUGUUCUGCUAGUGUACUCCUGGUUCUGUUUCCAA